Molecule: ribosomal RNA, 1407 nt
Filed under: uncultured bacterium
Lineage: Bacteria
Description: 16S ribosomal RNA
Rfam family: Bacterial small subunit ribosomal RNA
Source: RNAcentral
GAUUGAACGCUGGCGGCAUGGCUAAAACAUGCAAGUCAACGAGCCCGCAAGGGCGAGUGGCGGAAGGGCGAGUACAAGUAUCGAACGUGCCCCGAGGCGGGGGAUAGCGGCGGGAAACCGCCGGUAAUACCCCAUGAUUCUCCACGGAGCAAAGCCGCAAGGCGCCUUGGGAGCGGCGAUACACCUAUCAGGUUGUUGGCGGGGUAACGGCCCACCAAGCCGAAGACGGGUAGCGGGUGUGAGAGCACGGCCCGCCGCAUCGGGACUGAGACACUGCCCGGACUCCUACGGGAGGCUGCAGUAACGAAUAUUCCGCAAUGCGCGAAAGCGUGACGGAGCAAUGCCGCGUGCAGGAUGAAGCGGUUUCGCCGUGUAAACUGCUGUCAGGGGGCAGAAACACUGAUCACCCCCAGAGGAAGAGCCGGCUAACCCUGUGCCAGCAGCCGCGGUAAGACAGGGGGCUCGAGCGUUAAUCGGAAUCACUGGGCUUAAAGGGUGCGUAGGCGGCCCGGAAAGUGUCCCGUGAAAUCCCCCGGCUCAACCGGGGAAUGGCGGGGCAAACUCCCGGGCUUGAGGGAGCUAGAGGCGGGUGGAACGAUAGGUGGAGCGGUGGAAUGUGUAGAUAUCUAUCGGAACGCCGAAGGUGAAGACAGCCCGCUGGGGCUCUCCUGACGCUCAGGCACGAAAGCGUGGGGAGCAAACCGGGAUUAGAUACCCGGGUAGUCCACGCCCUAAACGAUGCGCACUAGAUCGGAGCGGGUAUGACCCCGUUCUGGUCGCAGAGAAAUCGAUAAGUGCGCCGCCUGGGGAGUACGGUCGCAAGGCUAAAACUCAAAGGAAUUGACGGGGGCUCACACAAGCGGUGGAGCAUGUUGCUUAAUUCGAAGCAACGCGAAGAACCUUACCCGGGUUUGACAUGCACGGAUUAACCCGCCGAAAGGCGGGCCACGCCCGCAAGGGUGGAACGUGCACAGGUGCUGCAUGGCUGUCGUCAGCUCGUGCUGUGAAGUGUCGGGUUAAGUCCCUUAACGAGCGCAACCCUUGUCGCUAGUUGCUAACGCGUCAUGGCGAGGACUCUAGCGAGACUGCCGGUGUCAAACCGGAGGAAGGCGGGGAUGACGUCAAGUCCUCAUGGCCCUUACAUCCGGGGUUGCAAACGUGCUACAAUGGCGUGUACAGAGCGACGCGAGGCCGCGAGGCGGAGCAAAUCGCAAAAAACACGCCCCAGUUCGGAUUGCAGGCUGCAACCCGCCUGCAUGAAGCCGGAAUCGCUAGUAAUCGGAGAUCAGCUACGCUCCGGUGAAUACGUUCCUGAGCCUUGUACACACCGCCCGUCAAGUCAUGGGAGCCGGGAGCGCCCGAAGUCGCCACGCCACUGUGGUGCCCACGGCGAGCUCGGUGACUGGG